Molecule: microRNA precursor, 69 nt
Filed under: Bombyx mori (domestic silkworm)
Lineage: Eukaryota; Metazoa; Arthropoda; Insecta; Lepidoptera; Bombycidae
Description: mir-2774 microRNA precursor family
Rfam family: mir-2774 microRNA precursor family
Source: Rfam by way of RNAcentral
AGAAGACUUGGACCAUCGGUCUGCCGAGCAACGGCACCCGCUUGGUGGAAGAUCUCUUCCCUUUGUCGA